AAAUGUAAUAUGAAUAUGAAUAUUUACAUUCGCUCUAGGGGAAACCGUGCGGAAAUUCAAGAGGAAGAGAUUGCAUCUUCGCAAGAAGCCUCUCACCAGCCGGCAAUAGGGGAAAGCUCCCUCUCGCCAUCGAUCCUCAAGUGUUUCGCCGCCUUUUCGAGAUUCCACGGAUAUUUUGCGUAUCCCAUUACUGUCAGCGAAACUGUUACUGUUGCGGCCUAGUUAGAAAGUCGAUAUUUUGGAGCGAGUUCGGAUGCCCGUGGAACGCUGAUCCGUUUGGCUCGUGAUGGCUUCGAUAAUAACUCCAAAUGAACUAAUAAAUACACAAAGGAAGUUCCAAUAACACAAAUUACGGUAAAUAACCAAAAUGUUUCACCAGUACCAAUUGCCAUGGAAACAUUAAUAAAAAAUUUAGUUACAAUGAAAACUAAUACCGAAUUUAAAA
Long non-coding RNA from Bombus impatiens (common eastern bumble bee), 445 nucleotides. RefSeq lists it as uncharacterized. The transcript is spliced from 2 exons. NCBI's taxonomy places the organism in Eukaryota, Metazoa, Arthropoda, Insecta, Hymenoptera, Apidae. The record is from RefSeq and is a predicted model, not a curated record.